This 436-nucleotide ribosomal RNA is filed under the name uncultured bacterium. RNAcentral's name for it is "bacterial SSU rRNA". It matches the Rfam family "Bacterial small subunit ribosomal RNA", at positions 469 to 905 of the family's 1533-position model. The record is from RNAcentral.
AUGACAGUGUCUGGUAAAGAAACCCCGGCUAAUUCCGUGCCAGCAGCCGCGGUAAUACGGAGGGGGUUAGCGUUGUUCGGAAUUACUGGGCGUAAAGCGCACGUAGGCGGAUCAGAAAGUAUAGGGUGAAAUCCCAGGGCUCAACCCUGGAACUGCCUUGUAAACUCCUGGUCUUGAGUUCGAGAGAGGUGAGUGGAAUUCCGAGUGUAGAGGUGAAAUUCGUAGAUAUUCGGAGGAACACCAGUGGCGAAGGCGGCUCACUGGCUCGAUACUGACGCUGAGGUGCGAAAGUGUGGGGAGCAAACAGGAUUAGAUACCCUGGUAGUCCACACCGUAAACGAUGAAUGCCAGACGUCAGCAAGCAUGCUUGUUGGUGUCACACCUAACGGAUUAAGCAUUCCGCCUGGGGAGUACGGUCGCAAGAUUAAAACUCAAA